RNAcentral lists this ribosomal RNA (557 nucleotides) under uncultured Methylobacterium sp. RNAcentral's name for it is "bacterial SSU rRNA". It matches the Rfam family "Bacterial small subunit ribosomal RNA", at positions 102 to 694 of the family's 1533-position model. Lineage: Bacteria; Pseudomonadati; Pseudomonadota; Alphaproteobacteria; Hyphomicrobiales; Methylobacteriaceae. The record is from RNAcentral.
ACGGGUGAGUAACGCGUGGGAACGUGCCUUCCGGUUCGGAAUAACCCUGGGAAACUAGGGCUAAUACCGGAUACGCCCUUAUGGGGAAAGGUUUACUGCCGGAAGAUCGGCCCGCGUCUGAUUAGCUAGUUGGUGGGGUAACGGCCUACCAAGGCGAUGAUCAGUAGCUGGUCUGAGAGGAUGAUCAGCCACACUGGGACUGAGACACGGCCCAGACUCCUACGGGAGGCAGCAGUGGGGAAUAUUGGACAAUGGGCGCAAGCCUGAUCCAGCCAUACCGCGUGAGUGAUGAAGGCCUUAGGGUUGUAAAGCUCUUUUAUCCGGGGCGAUAAUGACGGUACCGGAGGAAUAAGCCCCGGCUAACUACGUGCCAGCAGCCGCGGUAAUACGAAGGGGGCUAGCGUUGCUCGGAAUCACUGGGCGUAAAGGGCGCGUAGGCGGCGUUUUAAGUCGGGGGUGAAAGCCUGUGGCUCAACCACAGAAUGGCCUUCGAUACUGGGACACUUGAGUAUGGUAGAGGUUGGUGGAACUGCGAGUGUAGAGGUGAAAUUCGUAGA